RNAcentral lists this ribosomal RNA (474 nucleotides) under uncultured bacterium. Its description in RNAcentral is "partial 16S ribosomal RNA". The stretch from base 13 to 344 matches the Rfam family "Bacterial small subunit ribosomal RNA", at positions 40 to 399 of the family's 1533-position model. The record is from RNAcentral.
AGCGAACGCUGGCGGCAGGCCUAACACAUGCAAGUCGAACGAACCUUUCGGGGUUAGUGGCGGACGGGUGAGUAACACGUGGGAACGUGCCUUUAGGUUCGGAAUAACUCAGGGAAACUUGUGCUAAUACCGAAUGUGCCCUUCGGGGGAAAGAUUUAUCGCCUUUAGAGCGGCCCGCGUCUGAUUAGCUAGUUGGUUGAGGUAAUGGCUCACCAAGGCGACGAUCAGUAGCUGGUCUGAGAGGAUGAUCAGCCACAUUGGGACUGAGACACGGCCCAAACUGCGACGGGAGGGAGUGGGGGAGAGUGUGGAGAAAUGGACAAAAGACUGACGCAGCCAGGACGGGUGAAUGAGGGAGGUAUUAGGAAUGAAAAAUUAUUCAACAGGGGAGGAAAAGGAAGGAGCAGGGAGAAGAGGACCCGGCAAACGUGGGGAGAGGGCAGCGGAAAUAUUAGGAGGAGAAAACAGGUGAAC